RNAcentral lists this ribosomal RNA (483 nucleotides) under uncultured bacterium. Its description in RNAcentral is "bacterial SSU rRNA". It matches the Rfam family "Bacterial small subunit ribosomal RNA", at positions 30 to 507 of the family's 1533-position model. The record is from RNAcentral.
UUGAACGCUGGCGGCAUGCCUUACACAUGCAAGUCGAACGGCAGGCACGGGAGCAAUCCUGGUGGCGAGUGGCGAACGGGUGAGUAAUAUAUCGGAACGUGCCCAGUCGUGGGGGAUAACGUAGCGAAAGCUACGCUAAUACCGCAUACGAUCUAUGGAUGAAAGCGGGGGAUCGCAAGACCUCGCGCGAUUGGAGCGCCGAUAUCAGAUUAGGUAGUUGGUGAGGUAAAGGCUCACCAAGCCGACGAUCUGUAGCUGGUCUGAGAGGACGACCAGCCACACUGGGACUGAGACACGGCCCAGACUCCUACGGGAGGCAGCAGUGGGGAAUUUUGGACAAUGGGCGCAAGCCUGAUCCAGCAAUGCCGCGUGCAGGAUGAAGGCCUUCGGGUUGUAAACUGCUUUUGUACGGAACGAAACGGUGAGCUCUAAUACAGUUUGCUAAUGACGGUACCGUAAGAAUAAGCACCGGCUAACUACGUG